ACGCUGGCGGCAGGCCUAACACAUGCAAGUCGAACGGUAACAGGAAGUGCUUGCACUUCGCUGACGAGUGGCGGACGGGUGAGUAAUGCUUGGGAACUUGCCUUUGCGAGGGGGAUAACAGUUGGAAACGACUGCUAAUACCGCAUAAUGUCUACGGACCAAACGGGGCUUCGGCUCCGGCGCAAAGAGAGGCCCAAGUGAGAUUAGCUAGUUGGUAAGGUAAAGGCUUACCAAGGCGACGAUCUCUAGCUGUUCUGAGAGGAAGAUCAGCCACACUGGGACUGAGACACGGCCCAGACUCCUACGGGAGGCAGCAGUGGGGAAUAUUGCACAAUGGGGGAAACCCUGAUGCAGCCAUGCCGCGUGUGUGAAGAAGGCCUUCGGGUUGUAAAGCACUUUCAGUUGUGAGGAAAAGUUAGUAGUUAAUACCUGCUAGCCGUGACGUUAACAACAGAAGAAGCACCGGCUAACUCCGUGCCAGCAGCCGCGGUAAUACGGAGGGUGCGAGCGUUAAUCGGAAUUACUGGGCGUAAAGCGCACGCAGGCGGUUUGUUAAGCUAGAUGUGAAAGCCCCGGGCUCAACCUGGGAUGGUCAUUUAGAACUGGCAGACUAGAGUCUUGGAGAGGGGAGUGGAAUUCCAGGUGUAGCGGUGAAAUGCGUAGAUAUCUGGAGGAACAUCAGUGGCGAAGGCGACUCCCUGGCCAAAGACUGACGCUCAUGUGCGAAAGUGUGGGUAGCGAACAGGAUUAGAUACCCUGGUAGUCCACACCGUAAACGCUGUCUACUAGCUGUUUGUGACUUUAAGUCGUGAGUAGCGAAGCUAACGCGCUAAGUAGACCGCCUGGGGAGUACGGCCGCAAGGUUAA
This 867-nucleotide ribosomal RNA is filed under the name Alteromonas sp. RNAcentral describes it as "bacterial SSU rRNA". It matches the Rfam family "Bacterial small subunit ribosomal RNA", at positions 33 to 897 of the family's 1533-position model. The record is from RNAcentral. Lineage: Bacteria; Pseudomonadati; Pseudomonadota; Gammaproteobacteria; Alteromonadales; Alteromonadaceae.